This 103-nucleotide small nucleolar RNA is filed under the name Castor canadensis (American beaver). RNAcentral describes it as "Small nucleolar RNA SNORA8 (ENSCCNG00000001282.1)". It matches the Rfam family "Small nucleolar RNA SNORA8", at positions 35 to 139 of the family's 139-position model. From Rfam's summary of the family: ACA8 is a member of the H/ACA class of snoRNA that guide the sites of modification of uridines to pseudouridines. The record is from Rfam by way of RNAcentral. Lineage: Eukaryota; Metazoa; Chordata; Mammalia; Rodentia; Castoridae.
AAUGCUGGUGUUCAAAGGACAGCAUGGUAGAAAUUCAGUAUGUAGCAAUGUUGGUUUUCUUGCCUUUGUGCACAUGAAACCUGGUAUCUCUGGUGAUUCAGCA